RNAcentral lists this unclassified non-coding RNA (323 nucleotides) under Hevea brasiliensis (rubber tree). Lineage: Eukaryota; Viridiplantae; Streptophyta; Magnoliopsida; Malpighiales; Euphorbiaceae. The record is from RNAcentral.
CUUAUUUGAUUUUGAAAAUACAAUGAUUAAGUCGUCGAUUUCAUCAAAAUAACAGAAAUUUAAUUAUUUCAAUUGAAACAAAGGUGGAACUAGGAAUCUAUCAUUUGUGGGGAGGGAAUAAAACCUGCUGUAAUGAUACAGUAUAAACUAUUUUGUUGAUGGAUUAUAGAGUGAGAAACUAAUUUGUUUGAUUUUGAAAAUAUAUAGAUUAAAUUGUGUACUUCAUUAAAUAUUAAGUACUAAAGUGUAAAUUAUCGUACAAAAUAUUUAUUUUUAAAAAAUUGUCACUAUACCCCUAACUCUGUCCCUGUUUCUGGUAGAUA